UUGACCUCGGAUCAGGUAGGGAUACCCGCUGAACUUAAGCAUAUCAAUAAGCGGAGGAAAAGAAACCAACCGGGAUUGCCUCAGUAACUGCGAGUGAAGUGGCAAAAGCUCAAAUUUGAAAUCCGGUGCCUCUUGGUGCCUGAGUUGUAAUUUGGAGAGACAAAUUUGUUUGAUGGCGCCGGCCUAGGUUCCUUUGAACAGGACAACAUAGAGGGUGAGAAUCCCGUUCCUGGCCGGAUGUUCCGUCAUAUAUCUAAAUUGUCUUCGACGAGUCGAGUUGUUUGGGAAUGCAGCUCAAAAUGGGUGGUAAAUGUCAUCUAAAGCUAAAUAUUGGCGAGAGACCGAUAGCGCACAAGUAGAGUGAUCGAAAGAUGAAAAGCACUUUGAAAAGAGAGUCAAAAAGUACGUGAAAUUGCUGAAAGGGAAGCGCUUGAGACCAGACUCGAACCGUGGUGAUCAGCCGUGCUUCUGUGCGGUGUCACUUGCCACGGUUUGGGCCAGCAUCGGUUCUGGCGGUCGGAUAAAAGGUGGAGGAAUGUAGCUUCCUUCUGGGAGUGUUAAUUUAGCCACCACCACAAUGCGGCCAGCCGGGACCGAGGACCGCGCGCCUUCUUUGGCUAGGAUGCUGGCGUAAUGGUCUUAAGCGACCCGUCUUGAAACACGGACCAAGGAGUCUAACAUCUUAUGCGAGUGUUCGGGUGGAAAAACCCUUGCGCGAAAUGAAAGUGAACGGAGGUGGGAACCCGCAAGGGUGCACCAUCGACCGAUCCUGAAGUCUUCGGAAGGAUUUGAGUAGGAGCACAGAUGUUGGGACCCGAAAGAUGGUGAACUAUGCCUGAAUAGGGUGAAGCCAGAGGAAACUCUGGUGGAGGCUCGCAGCGGUUCUGACGUGCAAAUCGAUCGUCAAAUUUGGGUAUAGGGGCGAAAGACUAAUCGAACCAUCUA
RNAcentral lists this ribosomal RNA (945 nucleotides) under Pezizales sp. C40. RNAcentral's name for it is "eukaryotic LSU rRNA". It matches the Rfam family "Eukaryotic large subunit ribosomal RNA", at positions 1 to 946 of the family's 3401-position model. Lineage: Eukaryota; Fungi; Ascomycota; Pezizomycetes; Pezizales. The record is from RNAcentral.